This is a non-coding RNA of Pelobates cultripes (western spadefoot toad), 210 nucleotides long. The record is from the annotation of a GenBank genome assembly. NCBI's taxonomy places the organism in Eukaryota, Metazoa, Chordata, Amphibia, Anura, Pelobatidae.
CCCCAACCUCCUUCCUUCUGGCUGGUGUACAGUCUCCUGGUGCUAGAGUUCAGGUGGAAUCCUCCAUUUAGUGAGUAGAUUCUGGGUCUUGACUCCCAUGGUGACCAAUUUUUCUCUUGGCCACUUCAGGACCUGUCUGACUCUCUGGAGGUACUUGGAUAUUGCUAUCCUCCUUGCCUCUUCCUCAUCAUUGACAUUUGUUUGUGGAAC